GACGAACGCUGGCGGCGUGCUUAACACAUGCAAGUCGAACGGAAAGGCCCUGCUUUUGUGGGGUGCUCGAGUGGCGAACGGGUGAGUAACACGUGAGUAACCUGCCCUUGACUUUGGGAUAACUUCAGGAAACUGGGGCUAAUACCGGAUAGGAGCUCCUGCUGCAUGGUGGGGGUUGGAAAGUUUCGGCGGUUGGGGAUGGACUCGCGGCUUAUCAGCUUGUUGGUGGGGUAGUGGCUUACCAAGGCUUUGACGGGUAGCCGGCCUGAGAGGGUGACCGGCCACAUUGGGACUGAGGUACGGCCCAGAAUCCUACGGGAGGCAGCAGUGGGGAAUAUUGCACAAUGGGCGGAAGCCUGAUGCAGCAACGCCGCGUGCGGGAUGACGGGCUUCGGGUUGUAAACCGCUUUGGCCUGUGACGAAGCGUGAGUGACGGUAAUGGGUAAGGAAGCACCGGCUAACUACGUG
RNAcentral lists this ribosomal RNA (468 nucleotides) under uncultured bacterium. Its description in RNAcentral is "partial 16S ribosomal RNA". It matches the Rfam family "Bacterial small subunit ribosomal RNA", at positions 28 to 507 of the family's 1533-position model. The record is from RNAcentral.